Molecule: ribosomal RNA, 449 nt
Filed under: uncultured bacterium
Lineage: Bacteria
Description: SSU rRNA
Rfam family: Bacterial small subunit ribosomal RNA
Source: RNAcentral
AGAACGAACGCUGGCGGCAGGCCUCAAACAUGCAAGUCUAGGGGGUGUAGCAAUACAUCACCGGCGGACGGGUGCGUAACACGUGGGAAUGUACCUAUUGGUUCGGAACAACGCAGGGAAACUUGCGCUAAUACCGAAUGUGCCCGAAAGGAGAAAGAUUUAUCGCCAAUAGAUCAGCCCGCGUAGGAUUAGCUAGUUGGUGAGGUAAUGGCUCACCAAGGCUCCGAUCCUUAGCUGUUCUGAGAGGAAGAUCAGCCACACUGGGACUGAGACACGGCCCAGACUCCUACGGGAGGCAGCAGUUGGGAAUCUUGGACAAUGGGCGAAAGCCUGAUCCAGCCAUGCCGCGUGAGUGAUGAAGGCCUUCGGGUUGUAAAACUCUUUCGACGGGGACGAGUAAUGACGGUACCCGUAGAAGAAGCUCCGGCUAACUUCGCGCCAGCAGCCGC